GAUAGUCCCGUAUACGAAAUAAUCACAGUGGAACUAAGCAUACGAACAAGUAGGACGGGGCACGUGGAACCUUGUCUGAAUAUGGGGGGACCAUCCUCCAAGGCUAAAUACUCCUGAAUGACCGAUAGUGAACUAGUACCGUGAGGGAAAGGUGAAAAGAACCCUUAUAAAGGGAGUGAAAUAGAAUCUGAAACCGCUUGCAUACAAGCAGUAGGAGCAUGAUUUAGUCAUGUGACUGCGUACCUUUUGUAUAAUGGGUCAGCGAGUUAUUUUUAGUGGCGAGGAUAACUGAAUAAGGGAUCCGUAGCGAAAGCGAGUUUUAAUAGGGCGACUAGUCGCUAGGAG
Molecule: ribosomal RNA, 345 nt
Filed under: Francisella tularensis
Lineage: Bacteria; Pseudomonadati; Pseudomonadota; Gammaproteobacteria; Thiotrichales; Francisellaceae
Description: partial 23S ribosomal RNA
Rfam family: Bacterial large subunit ribosomal RNA
Source: RNAcentral